UUUUUAGCUAAGUCUAUAUAGGCACUUGUUUUAUUUGAAAUUAGGUCGUGUAUAAAUACUCUAUGAGAUAGUUUCUUUAAUUACGACAUCACAGUCGAAUAUGCUAAAAUAUAUAUAAAUUAGUUCUGGAGGUUAAAAUUGUGAAUAAAUUAGUAUUAAUCGAUGGUAAUAGCUUAAGUUUUAGAGCUUUUUAUGCAUUACCUU
Molecule: small RNA, 204 nt
Filed under: Staphylococcus aureus
Lineage: Bacteria; Bacillati; Bacillota; Bacilli; Caryophanales; Staphylococcaceae
Description: 5'UTR
Source: RNAcentral